AGUGAACGCUGGCGGUAGGCCUAACACAUGCAAGUCGAACGGCAGCACAUUAAGAGCUUGCUCUUACGGGUGGCGAGUGGCGGACGGGUGAGGAAUACAUCGGAAUCUACUUUUUCGUGGGGGAUAACGUAGGGAAACUUACGCUAAUACCGCAUACGACCUACGGGUGAAAGCAGGGGAUCUUCGGACCUUGCGCGAUUGAAUGGGCCGAUGUCGGAUUAGCUAGUUGGCGGGGUAAAGGCCCACCAAGGCGACGAUCCGUAGCUGGUCUGAGAGGAUGAUCAGCCACACUGGAACUGAGACACGGUCCAGACUCCUACGGGAGGCAGCAGUGGGGAAUAUUGGACAAUGGGCGCAAGCCUGAUCCAGCCAUACCGCGUGGGUGAAGAAGGCCUUCGGGUUGUAAAGCCCUUUUGUUGGGAAAGAAAAGCAGCAGGUUAAUACCCCGCUGUUCUGACGGUACCCAAAGAAUAAGCACCGGCUAACUUCGUG
RNAcentral lists this ribosomal RNA (492 nucleotides) under uncultured bacterium. RNAcentral describes it as "partial 16S ribosomal RNA". It matches the Rfam family "Bacterial small subunit ribosomal RNA", at positions 29 to 507 of the family's 1533-position model. The record is from RNAcentral.